This 278-nucleotide ribosomal RNA is filed under the name Vreelandella arcis. Its description in RNAcentral is "Halomonas arcis 23S rRNA. Bacterial LSU". It matches the Rfam family "Bacterial large subunit ribosomal RNA", at positions 2654 to 2925 of the family's 2925-position model. The record is from RNAcentral. Lineage: Bacteria; Pseudomonadati; Pseudomonadota; Gammaproteobacteria; Oceanospirillales; Halomonadaceae.
UUGGAUGUUUGAGAAGGGCUGCUCCUAGUACGAGAGGACCGGAGUGGACGCACCUCUGGUGUUCCGGUUGUCACGCCAGUGGCAUUGCCGGGUAGCUAUGUGCGGACGGGAUAACCGCUGAAAGCAUCUAAGCGGGAAGCCCCCUUCAAGAUGAGACAUCCCAGAGGCCUAGAGCCUCCUGAAGGGCCCAGCGAGACCAGCUGGUUGAUAGGCACGGUGUGGAAGCGCUGCAAGGCGUUGAGCUAACGUGUACUAAUGGCCCGUGAGGCUUGACCCUA